RNAcentral lists this ribosomal RNA (395 nucleotides) under uncultured bacterium. Its description in RNAcentral is "bacterial SSU rRNA". It matches the Rfam family "Bacterial small subunit ribosomal RNA", at positions 93 to 504 of the family's 1533-position model. The record is from RNAcentral.
UAGCGGCGGACGGGUGAGUAACACGUGGGUAACCUGCCUCAAAGUGGGGGAUAGCCUUCCGAAAGGAAGAUUAAUACCGCAUAAUAUCAUGGCGCUGCAUGGCGCAGUGAUUAAAGGAGCAAUCCACUUUGAGAUGGACCCGCGGCGCAUUAGCUAGUUGGUGAGGUAACGGCCCACCAAGGCGACGAUGCGUAGCCGACCUGAGAGGGUGAUCGGCCACAUUGGAACUGAGACACGGUCCAGACUCCUACGGGAGGCAGCAGUGGGGAAUAUUGCACAAUGGGGGAAACCCUGAUGCAGCAACGCCGCGUGAGUGAUGAAGGCCUUCGGGUCGUAAAGCUCUUUGAUCAGGGACGAUAAUGACGGUACCUGAAAAACAAGCCACGGCUAAUACG